CUGGUUCCAAAGGUUAGGUUUGCGAUUUUGUUGGUUUGUGAAGGAAAGUUUGGAUCUUUCGUGAAGGAAAGUUUGGGAUUCUAGGUGCUCUGCACCUCCUGUUUUGCAAGUCCCAUUUUGGCAGGCCGGAUGCCACCGGAACGCUGCAGCCAGGCGAGCAGAGGCUUGGCUUGGGGACCACAGGGCGGGCUCUCCAGCGACCUUUGGUCAAAAGUUUGGUCGACCAACACGGGAUACGAGCCUCCAUUGAUGAACUUCUCACUUCUUGGUUGUGAUUUUCAGAUUCGGUGUGCUCACAAUCACCUAUCCUCUCUAGCAAACACACAUGCGUGCCCUCUCCUUCUCGUUGGCUCCUCUGCGUGCAUGCAUGUGGAAUGUCGAAGGUGUUAACUUUUGCAGCAAGAGAUGUUAGGGCUGGGUUUCUGUUGUCGGCUCAUGUCCAUGUGAUCAGCUUCUGUCGUGGGGAUUUAUAAUCAGCUGAUUGUAAAGAGCAAAAGGCACCGGUUUCUUAUUCGAGAGCAAAUUUCAGGAGAAAUCCUACAAGGUUGUUACCAAGUUGAUCAAAUCAACAGCUCUGGCUACUUCGCAUGUUGGUGUGACUAUCAUGAACCAUUGAAUUUGCAUUCUUCAACUUCUCGGAAGGGCUUUAUAGAAGUUUUGGAACUCAGAAAACAAAUGGCAGUAUUGCCAUGUUAUUGGGUUGGGUUAGAGCAGUCGAGGCCCUAAAUGUGCACGACUAACUCCCCUUGCCUUCGCAAGCUCGGGAGAGUGGGAAUGGAGGUGCACUUGAGGCAGGAGGGGAAGUUGUGCUACUACUGGAGAUAUGGUCUAGCGGUCCAGAAAAGAAGAUGCGAUGAGGCUGUGUAAUUGAAUCAAGUAUAUUAGUAGCUAUGGAUUAGGUAU
Molecule: long non-coding RNA, 903 nt
Organism: Phragmites australis (common reed)
Lineage: Eukaryota; Viridiplantae; Streptophyta; Magnoliopsida; Poales; Poaceae
Exons: 6
Source: RefSeq, a predicted model, not a curated record